Molecule: long non-coding RNA, 1452 nt
Organism: Carassius auratus (goldfish)
Lineage: Eukaryota; Metazoa; Chordata; Actinopteri; Cypriniformes; Cyprinidae
Exons: 2
Source: RefSeq, a predicted model, not a curated record
AUUCUGCUACCAGAACACAUUCUCUGUCACGAUCUUUCAGUGAUAUCGGUUGAACAGACGGCAGUCAAUGAUCGUGUAAUGUGUAGAUGAUCUUCAAGAUUUUUUGAGAAUUCUAUUACAUUUUUUGACUUUUACUGCUUUUUAUGUGCUCUGUGAAUAUGCUUCAUUUAAGCUAUAUUUAUCUUUUCGAUUGUGGAUCCUGCAUAGGCCACACCAUGAUCCUCUGCAUGUAAAGCUACUCUAGAAGAACAGUUUUUCCACAACAAACAGUUGAUCUGUUUUCUCAUGAAGAUUAUCCAGUAGGCCUAUUUACCAGCGAAAUAUUGUUUGUAAAUUCUACCAGUGAAUGCACUAAUCUUUAACUUCUUUCUGUGUCAAGAUAUUUUUCUUACAUGGGUCUGCAUUAUGGGUCAGAAGAACCCAGAGGAAAGACAUCAUGGAUUGUGGAAAAGCUGAAAGAGACAGUCCUGUGACUUAUAAACAAGAGUCUGCAGGAACAGUACUGGAAGUUGAGAUUCACUUUUCAUCUGAUCGACCGAAUUCUUCACUUUCUGCUGAUGCAGUUGCUUCAGAGGGUCAACUGGGGUCGUGUGUCUCUUUUUACUCCUGUCCUUCAGUUCCUGAAAUACACUAUAAUGCUUGAUUGUUGUUUCAUCUCCCGCAAGUCUCUUUGUGCUCCCUCCAGGAUGUCAAGCUAUGACAGUUUCCUGUCAGUUGAGGCCAGAUGUCCCAGAUCGUUCUCAGUGAUGCCUGAACCUUCAGAGUUGCUGUAUUUAGGGUUGUUCAUAGCCUCCUUCCACACCAUCUUGAAAUGAGAAUCUAUAAAUGCCUCCAGCUCCUCAAUGUCACGUCACCCCAUUGGUCAAUUAGGUUCUGCAGGUUCUCUGACUGGAAAAAUCCAUAAAGGCUCUUUUUUUUGCAAUUAGAGCAGUGUAAGGCGUAUUUUUGUGGUAAUACAGAAAGGAUGGCCCACAAAAUCUUUAAGAGCAAGAGCAAAUGUUCAGACAUCUUAAUCCUUUGAUGCUCUCCUCGAAUGUCAGCUACAAAAACAUUAACAAACUUUAAACCAAUACCAACGUUCAAUAUCAUUAUCAACUUUCAGACCUAAUCAAGCAAUGUUGGGGGUAACACAUUAAAAGUAACAUGAGCUACGUAAUCAGAUUACUUUUUCUAGUAAAGUAAUGCAAUGACAAGAAAAUAUUUGAGGUACUUUUUCUAAUGCCAGUUGCUUUUGUUUUCCCAUUUAUUUACUGACAGCUCUCCUGUCCCUUUGUGGAAAGAAAUAUCAUAGUCUUCAUGCAAUCCAGAAUAAAAGUAUGUUUGAAAGCUGAAGGUAUGAAAGUUGUGCCAUCUACUGUACAGACGUGAAUUUACAUUUCCUUCAUCCUGAGACUUUUACAUUUGCCAAAAAUAUUACAUUAAAAACAAACAAGGAAGCCCAGCCCAUAUUUG